Spodoptera frugiperda (fall armyworm) is the source of this 233-nucleotide long non-coding RNA. RefSeq lists it as uncharacterized. Lineage: Eukaryota; Metazoa; Arthropoda; Insecta; Lepidoptera; Noctuidae. The record is from RefSeq and is a predicted model, not a curated record. The transcript has 2 exons.
UGUGUUCGGAGCAGUAACGGAAUCAUAGCGCGAUCAAAAUAUGUAUUAAAAAUAAUAUUUAUUAUUCGAGUUGUCAUGGCGCUCGAUAGAUGGGGCUAAAAUCGAAAUAGAUCGCGCUAUGGUUUCGUUACAUCAAUUUGGUUAGGUCCGGCGUCAAUUUGACGUCGGUCGAGUACAAGUAACGCCCCUAGCGGGAAAAAGUGUAAUAAUUAAUAAAAGUGAGUGCAAUAACA